Molecule: ribosomal RNA, 477 nt
Filed under: uncultured bacterium
Lineage: Bacteria
Description: bacterial SSU rRNA
Rfam family: Bacterial small subunit ribosomal RNA
Source: RNAcentral
UUCGCAAUGCCCGAAAGGGUGACGAAGCGACGCCGCGUGUGGGAAGAAGGCCUUCGGGUUGUAAACCACUGUCGGGAGUUAAGAAAUGCAAGGAUAUGAAUAGUGUCUUUGCUUGACUAAGGCUCCGGAGGAAGCCACGGCUAACUCUGUGCCAGCAGCCGCGGUAAUACAGAGGCGGCAAGCGUUGUUCGGAAUUAUUGGGCGUAAAGAGCACGUAGGCGGCUAUGUAAGUCGGUUGUGAAAGCCUUCCGCUCAACGGGAGAACAGCAUCCGAUACUACAUGGCUUGAGUGCGGGAGGGGAGAGUGGAACUUCUGGUGGAGCGGUGAAAUGCGUAGAUAUCAGAAGGAACGCCGGCGGCGAAAGCGGCUCUCUGGCCCAUAACUGACGCUGAGUGUGCGAAAGCUAGGGGAGCAAAAGGGAUUAGAUACCCCUGUAGUCCUAGCCGUAAACGAUGGGCACUAAGUAGAGGGGUUUU